Long non-coding RNA from Lolium rigidum, 538 nucleotides. RefSeq lists it as uncharacterized. The record is from RefSeq and is a predicted model, not a curated record. The transcript has 3 exons. NCBI's taxonomy places the organism in Eukaryota, Viridiplantae, Streptophyta, Magnoliopsida, Poales, Poaceae.
UCCUCUCCGACCUCAUCCACGGCUUCCUGGUGAUGUGCUCGUUCUUCCAGACCUCUUCCCCGUCUCAAUCUCGUCCUCGUUUUCUUUCUACCGACUUUGACCACCGGUAACCUCCGCAGGAGCUCGUCGCCGGCGACGCCGCGGUGCCUCCCUGACCGUCUCAUCACCCGAAGCUGCACCACCCCGCUGAGCCGCACCCUCGACGCCACUUCUCUGGACCUGGUUCGCUCCCAGUCGCCCAAACCAUCUCCGACCUGCUCGUCCACCAUGGCUGCAGUAUGCAAGGUCGACCCGGCCUUAUGUAUGUUCUUGUUGACGUGCACCUGGCACUGUUCAUUGAUCCGCAACUAGCCUAGCUGAUCUCGCAGCGAAGGAUGCUUCAAUUUGCGUGGAGUCUUUCCCAAAUCAACAUACACACAUUAGCCUGGCUGGUGGCCCCUUCUGUCAGCCUCCACCGGCGCCACCUCAUCCUUCCUGCCUCGUCAGCGCCUGUCAGCAUCUCCCUGGCCCGCUAGUCAGCCUCUUGGGCUAUCUCCUC